UUAAGCGACUAAGCGUACACGGUGGAUGCCCUGGCAGUCAGAGGCGAUGAAGGACGUGCUAAUCUGCGAUAAGCGUCGGUAAGGUGAUAUGAACCGUUAUAACCGGCGAUUUCCGAAUGGGGAAACCCAGUGUGUUUCGACACACUAUCAUUAACUGAAUCCAUAGGUUAAUGAGGCGAACCGGGGGAACUGAAACAUCUAAGUACCCCGAGGAAAAGAAAUCAACCGAGAUUCCCCCAGUAGCGGCGAGCGAACGGGGAGCAGCCCAGAGCCUGAAUCAGUGUGUGUGUUAGUGGAAGCGUCUGGAAAGGCGCGCGAUACAGGGUGACAGCCCCGUACACAAAAAUGCACAUGCUGUGAGCUCGAUGAGUAGGGCGGGACACGUGGUAUCCUGUCUGAAUAUGGGGGGACCAUCCUCCAAGGCUAAAUACUCCUGACUGACCGAUAGUGAACCAGUACCGUGAGGGAAAGGCGAAAAGAACCCCGGCGAGGGGAGUGAAAAAGAACCUGAAACCGUGUACGUACAAGCAGUGGGAGCACGCUUAGGCGUGUGACUGCGUACCUUUUGUAUAAUGGGUCAGCGACUUAUAUUCUGUAGCAAGGUUAACCGAAUAGGGGAGCCGAAGGGAAACCGAGUCUUAACUGGGCGUUAAGUUGCAGGGUAUAGACCCGAAACCCGGUGAUCUAGCCAUGGGCAGGUUGAAGGUUGGGUAACACUAACUGGAGGACCGAACCGACUAAUGUUGAAAAAUUAGCGGAUGACUUGUGGCUGGGGGUGAAAGGCCAAUCAAACCGGGAGAUAGCUGGUUCUCCCCGAAAGCUAUUUAGGUAGCGCCUCGUGAAUUCAUCUCCGGGGGUAGAGCACUGUUUCGGCAAGGGGGUCAUCCCGACUUACCAACCCGAUGCAAACUGCGAAUACCGGAGAAUGUUAUCACGGGAGACACACGGCGGGUGCUAACGUCCGUCGUGAAGAGGGAAACAACCCAGACCGCCAGCUAAGGUCCCAAAGUCAUGGUUAAGUGGGAAACGAUGUGGGAAGGCCCAGACAGCCAGGAUGUUGGCUUAGAAGCAGCCAUCAUUUAAAGAAAGCGUAAUAGCUCACUGGUCGAGUCGGCCUGCGCGGAAGAUGUAACGGGGCUAAACCAUGCACCGAAGCUGCGGCAGCGACACUAUGUGUUGUUGGGUAGGGGAGCGUUCUGUAAGCCUGUGAAGGUGUGCUGUGAGGCAUGCUGGAGGUAUCAGAAGUGCGAAUGCUGACAUAAGUAACGAUAAAGCGGGUGAAAAGCCCGCUCGCCGGAAGACCAAGGGUUCCUGUCCAACGUUAAUCGGGGCAGGGUGAGUCGACCCCUAAGGCGAGGCCGAAAGGCGUAGUCGAUGGGAAACAGGUUAAUAUUCCUGUACUUGGUGUUACUGCGAAGGGGGGACGGAGAAGGCUAUGUUGGCCGGGCGACGGUUGUCCCGGUUUAAGCGUGUAGGCUGGUUUUCCAGGCAAAUCCGGAAAAUCAAGGCUGAGGCGUGAUGACGAGGCACUACGGUGCUGAAGCAACAAAUGCCCUGCUUCCAGGAAAAGCCUCUAAGCAUCAGGUAACAUCAAAUCGUACCCCAAACCGACACAGGUGGUCAGGUAGAGAAUACCAAGGCGCUUGAGAGAACUCGGGUGAAGGAACUAGGCAAAAUGGUGCCGUAACUUCGGGAGAAGGCACGCUGAUAUGUAGGUGAAGCGACUUGCUCGUGGAGCUGAAAUCAGUCGAAGAUACCAGCUGGCUGCAACUGUUUAUUAAAAACACAGCACUGUGCAAACACGAAAGUGGACGUAUACGGUGUGACGCCUGCCCGGUGCCGGAAGGUUAAUUGAUGGGGUCAGCGCAAGCGAAGCUCUUGAUCGAAGCCCCGGUAAACGGCGGCCGUAACUAUAACGGUCCUAAGGUAGCGAAAUUCCUUGUCGGGUAAGUUCCGACCUGCACGAAUGGCGUAAUGAUGGCCAGGCUGUCUCCACCCGAGACUCAGUGAAAUUGAACUCGCUGUGAAGAUGCAGUGUACCCGCGGCAAGACGGAAAGACCCCGUGAACCUUUACUAUAGCUUGACACUGAACAUUGAGCCUUGAUGUGUAGGAUAGGUGGGAGGCUUUGAAGUGUGGACGCCAGUCUGCAUGGAGCCGACCUUGAAAUACCACCCUUUAAUGUUUGAUGUUCUAACGUGGACCCGUGAUCCGGGUUGCGGACAGUGUCUGGUGGGUAGUUUGACUGGGGCGGUCUCCUCCUAAAGAGUAACGGAGGAGCACGAAGGUUGGCUAAUCCUGGUCGGACAUCAGGAGGUUAGUGCAAUGGCAUAAGCCAGCUUGACUGCGAGCGUGACGGCGCGAGCAGGUGCGAAAGCAGGUCAUAGUGAUCCGGUGGUUCUGAAUGGAAGGGCCAUCGCUCAACGGAUAAAAGGUACUCCGGGGAUAACAGGCUGAUACCGCCCAAGAGUUCAUAUCGACGGCGGUGUUUGGCACCUCGAUGUCGGCUCAUCACAUCCUGGGGCUGAAGUAGGUCCCAAGGGUAUGGCUGUUCGCCAUUUAAAGUGGUACGCGAGCUGGGUUUAGAACGUCGUGAGACAGUUCGGUCCCUAUCUGCCGUGGGCGCUGGAGAACUGAGGGGGGCUGCUCCUAGUACGAGAGGACCGGAGUGGACGCAUCACUGGUGUUCGGGUUGUCAUGCCAAUGGCACUGCCCGGUAGCUAAAUGCGGAAGAGAUAAGUGCUGAAAGCAUCUAAGCACGAAACUUGCCCCGAGAUGAGUUCUCCCUGACCCUUUAAGGGUCCUGAAGGAACGUUGAAGACGACGACGUUGAUAGGCCGGGUGUGUAAGCGCAGCGAUGCGUUGAGCUAACCGGUACUAAUGAACCGUGAGGCUUAACCUU
Molecule: ribosomal RNA, 2901 nt
Filed under: Escherichia coli
Lineage: Bacteria; Pseudomonadati; Pseudomonadota; Gammaproteobacteria; Enterobacterales; Enterobacteriaceae
Description: bacterial LSU rRNA
Rfam family: Bacterial large subunit ribosomal RNA
Source: RNAcentral